AUUUGAGGGUUAUUGUAUUAUCUAAGGUUAUUUUAUUUUUGUAAGAAAUAUAUUUGUUUUUAUUAAUUUUAUUUGAAUAAAUUUUUUUUAUUAUAGCUUAUUGUACUGUGAAGGAAGUUCUUUUUUUCUGUAAAAGUAAAUUUUAUUAGUUGUACCUUUUGUAUCAGGGUUUAUUAAAAAUAGUUUAAUGAUUUAAUUUUCUCGAAUCUAUAAGAGUUAUAAUAAUAUUUAUAUUAAUGUAGAAUAAUUAUUUAUAAUAUUAUUAUGGAAAUGAAAUGUUAUUCGUUUAUAGAUAUAUCUAGUUUUCUAAGAAAUAAGUUUAAUUUAAUUGUUAAUAUUAUUUAUAUAUGUUUAAAUUAUGUGAUGUUAACAUUAAAUAUUCAAGGGGAUAAGCUUUUGAAUUUGUUUUAUAUUUAAUUGGUUAUUAAUAAUAAAUAGGAUUAGAAUUUUCCAUUUUUAUAAGUAUGUUAUAUUUUAUUAUUUAUUUAGGUUGAUUUAAUUUUUUAUUAAAUUUUUUAUUAGAAUGUUGUUUUUAUUUUUAAUUGAUAAUUAAUUAUGAUUGAAUUAGUAUAAUUUUAUGUAAUUUUAUGUUUUAUUGUCAGGUUAUUUUAAGGAAUUCGGCAAAAUAAUUUUCACCUGUUUAUUAAAAACAUGGCUUUUUGAGUAUUAUUUAAGGUCAGGCCUGCUCCAUGAUUUUUAAAUAGCCGCAGUAUUUUGACUGUGCAAAGGUAGCAUAAUCAUUAGUUUCUUAAUUAGAAGCUGGAAUGAAUGGUUCGAUGAGAAAUUGACUGUCUCAUUUUAAUUGAAUUAGAACUUAAAUUUUAAGUGAAAAUGCUUAAAUGUUUUAUGAGGACGAGAAGACCCUAUAGAGUUUUAUUUUAAAUUUUUUAGUUUUAUGUAAGAUUUAAUUUGAAUUUAUUAAAUUUGGAAUUUUGUUGGGGUGAUGUGAAAAUUAGAAAAACUUUUUAUUUUAUUAUACAAUAAUUAUUGAAUUGAUGAUCCUGAAUUUUGGAUUAUAAGAUUUAAUUACCUUAGGGAUAACAGCGUAAUUUUUUUUGAAAGUUCUUAUUGAAAAAGAAGUUUGCGACCUCGAUGUUGGAUUAAAAUUUAUUUAUGGUGCAGUAGCUAUAAAAUUAGGUCUGUUCGACCUUUAAAAUUUUACAUGAUCUGAGUUUAAACCGGUGUGAGCCAGGUUGGUUUCUAUCCUUUAAAUUUUGAAGCAUUUUAGUACGAAAGGACCAGGUGUUUGAAUUAUAUUUUUAUAGUUGAUUAUGAUU
RNAcentral lists this ribosomal RNA (1277 nucleotides) under Tribolium confusum (confused flour beetle). RNAcentral describes it as "16S ribosomal RNA". The stretch from base 1037 to 1195 matches the Rfam family "Archaeal large subunit ribosomal RNA", at positions 2542 to 2701 of the family's 2987-position model. Lineage: Eukaryota; Metazoa; Arthropoda; Insecta; Coleoptera; Tenebrionidae. The record is from RNAcentral.